Molecule: long non-coding RNA, 2101 nt
Filed under: Sus scrofa (pig)
Lineage: Eukaryota; Metazoa; Chordata; Mammalia; Artiodactyla; Suidae
Description: lncRNA (ENSSSCG00040046395.1)
Source: RNAcentral
AUGGCUGCUCCUGUGGCAAAUGGAAGUUCCCAGGCUAAGGAGCAAAUUAGAGCUGCAGGUGCAGGCCUACACCACAACCACAGCCACACUGGAUUUGAGCCACAUCUGUGAUUUAUGCCACAGCUUGCAGCAAUGCCAGAUUCUUAACUCACUGAGCAAGGCCAAGAAUCAAACCUGUAUGCUCAUGGACACUAUGUUGUGAUUUAGGAAACCCCUCUAGUAAAUCACAAAACAAAAUGAUCACCAAUUCCUUCCAUCCCUAUAUACACACCCCUCUACAAUGUGGCCUCACAACUCCUUCUAGAAAGAGAUGGAAUGUGUAUCCUUAACUCUUGAUAUCAGGUCAUGGACAUGUGACAUACUUCAGCAAACAUGGCAGAGGCAGAGACUUUAUAAGUGCUUGUGCAAUGAAGCUUGCCCUAUCUUACUGCUACCCCACCUGCCUCUUGUCUAUAGAAAAACUUUAGCCUCCUAGGCCUUUCCCAAGUUCCAAAGAGUAAAUUUAAUUAGCUAGAGAGAAAAUGCAGAAAGCAAAACCUCAAACAAAACAAACUAAUAAUAAUUUAGCCAUUAAACAAAGUCAAGGAUAUUUAGUCCUUCUUUGAAGGUUAUAGAUAAUAUUCUAAGCCAUGUCCUUAGAGCCGUUUUGCAGUUAAUGAAACCUUCAUCAGGUAGAAGAAGUUAACUAUAUGCUGCCCACAAACAUGGAGACCCGACACCAGUUGGGACCAGAAGGUUGACGAAGCUGACUUCUAAUUACCCACGACUAACCAAUCAGAAUUUCCACAAGUUGAUCAUGCACUCCACCUAACCCCUCCCUCUCCCUGCCUUUAAAAACCUUCCCCUGAAAGCCACUGGAGAGUUCAGGCCUUUUGAGCACUAACUACCUGGACUUCUUGUUUGGUAACCUGCAAUAAACACCGGACUUUCACUCAUUACGAUUCAAGCGUCAAUAGACUGGCUUUACUGCAUGCAGAUGGACAAACUCAAGCUUGGUUUAGUAAGAGCCACAGUCGUGAAUGUGAGCCCAGGAGACACCUGGACAAGAACAGUCCACCUGGGCCCAGCCCAAAUUGCCAACCCAUCAAAUUGCAAGUUAACAAUGAUGGUUGUUUCAAGCUGUUAAUAUUGUGGGUAGCUUAUUAUUCAGCAAAAGCUAAUUGAUAUGCCCCUUCUUAAAAAAGAAAAUCAGAUAAAGUAUUUGCAGUCAAUUCUAGUGGUGCUAAAACUUGACCACACUCUUAAAUUAUUUAAAAAUUUUUUUAUUUCAGGACCUGAUAUAAGUGGUGAGCAUAUUUCUAUAGAACCAAUGCAUUCCAGACACUUUGUCCUACCUAAUCAAAUGCCACUGAGAGAUGCUACCCAUUCAGGAAGGAAAAAAAAAAAAACCUUUCUAGAAGUAAACAUGAAACUAGAAAAUUAACUGUGACAGUUUUGAUUUUUACAAAGGAACUUCACUGCAUUAUUGAAAAAUCCAAGUUUACCAUGGUAACUGCUUCCUCACACACCACUUUUAUUCCCAACAAAGGCAUUUGUAGAGGAUGAAACAAACUACACUAGAACAUGAAGUUUCUCAUCAUAGUACCUCUGUAAGAUAUCUUGAAAAUCCUGUCUUUAGGCUGCUUUUAUACAACAUUUCUUUAUUACACUUACGAUAAUUAGAAUUGUUCCUACAUGAUUGAAGAUAAUGACAAAGUAUGUUGAAUAUGCUUUAAAAACUGACUAUAAAAUGUUACAUAUUAUUAUAACAACAAAAAAUAUUAUGUUGAGGAGAAUUGCAUUAUGUAGACAUAUUCACUGAUUUAUUUAACAUAAGAGUACCUACUCCCAGAGUUUCCAUUGUGGCUCAGUGGUAAUGAACCUGAACGUGAUUAGUAUCCAUGAGAAUGGGGGUUCAAUCCCUGGCCCUGCUCUGUCGGUUAAGCAUCCUGUGUUGCCAUGAGCUGUGGUGUAGGUCACAGAUGUGGCUUAGAUUCUGCAUCACUGUGGCUGUGGCAUAGGCUGGCAGCUGCAGUGCCAAUUUGACCUGUAGCCUGGAAACUUCCAUAUGCUGUGGGUAUGGCCCAAAGCAAAAAAAAAAAAAAAAAAAAAAAAAAAAAAA